RNAcentral lists this small RNA (1371 nucleotides) under Leishmania donovani. RNAcentral's name for it is "gene:snRNA.31.001(snRNA-product:snRNA)". The record is from RNAcentral. Lineage: Eukaryota; Euglenozoa; Kinetoplastea; Trypanosomatida; Trypanosomatidae.
CCACCACACCGCCUUCGCUCGAGCAUCCCUCGAUGGCACGCAUGUCAACGAGAAAAAAAUUUCGCGAUUGCCGCGUAGCGCACCAUUCCUGUGCGAAUAUGAGUGCGACUUGAUUACAUUACAACACCUUCCUCCCUCCCUCCAAAAACACACUGAUGAGUUCCUCGACGGUGGAUCAUGCAGACGACUCCCAUCGUAGCCCCUCAGAGGGUGCAACCUGUUCUUAGGUGACACCCCCCUCCCGAUCGUAAGAACCGAAUCGCCGUUGUGGAGCCUAACCCACUGCUGCUACCAGGGGGAGCUGACUCCUUCAUGUUUCUCCUCGCCGGUGUCGAGAGGGAGCCACCGCGCGUUCUUUGAUUUAUUGCCUGAGGCCCCUCAUCCUGCUGACUCGCACCUUGAGCGCGCCGCGACAGGCAAGUCGCCGUACAAGCAUGUGUGUCUUGUCGCGCCAUCCCUGCAGCCGAGCGCCUCGUGCCCGUUGACGCUUUUGGAGCGGGCGUCGGCUCCCACAUCGCCAUCGGUGUCUGUCACAUCACCACCUCAAAUGGUGGCUUCUUGCGGAGCUUCAUCGUCCGCAAGGCCUGCUGCAGCACAGGCCACUCGCGCAGCUGGCGUGCCGGUUCGGUGCUCUCAGUAGAGCGGGAGUACGCAAACGCGGCACUCCUCUCCUGCGAUGCACGUCCGUGCCUCUCUGCUGCAUUGGCGUAUUCCCUCUCGCCGCCAGUAGCCGGCGAUACAACAGGUAUACGAUCCCUCUGCCGAAGCAUCAGCACAGAGCGACAGCAUCUUCCUCCACCGGUAGCCGAGUCCCCGAUGCCAGUGGCACUCAUGCAGCAGGGGCGAGGGGAGGCCUGCAGUGAGUGGCGGAUUUUUCUGCUUCUGCAGAUGCCAAGGAUCGCGCGGUCGUCUGCGUAUCGGGCGUCCCGUCCCCGUGCAUCCGACGCUGUCCAACACGUAUCGCGACGAUGCAUCUCGAACGUUUUUCGACCGCUACGCUUUCUCGCUUUGUGCAUGCCCGAGCCGACACAUCAGUUCGCUGGGUAUGCGAAAUUCGUGAGAAACCGAAACACACAAACAAGAAUCCUUGCUCGUAGCGGGCAGAGGAGAGACUAGUAGCAGCGCCAGUGUGUGCUUGCACAUGUCUUGCAUUGGAUAUGUGGCAAGCGGAACCAGCACCGACAGCCAUCGGCCCCGUUCACGGCUUCUCCCACCCACCUCCCUCUCCCCACAUCGUCGCCGUUUCUAUGGAUGAUGACCUUUUACCCUUCUUCUGAGCACUAUGGUUCGCUUCUCGUUGCGUUGUUCAUCUACCUCUGUGCUCCCACACUCGACUGGAUUGAUCGCUAUCGAUUUUCUGGGGCCCGGCAG